GUGCCAGCAGCCGCGGUAAUACGAAGGGAGCUAGCGUUACUCGGAAUUAUUGGGCGUAAAGCGUGCGUAGGCGGCUCUGUAAGUCAGAAGUGAAAGCCUGAGGCUCAACCUCAGAAUUGCUUUUGAAACUACAGAGCUAGAGUAUCAGAGGGGAUAGCGGAAUUCCUAGUGUAGAAGUGAAAUUCGUAGAUAUUAGGAGGAACACCGGUGGCGAAGGCGGCUAUCUGGCUGAAUACUGACGCUGUUGCACGAAAGCGUGGGGAGCAAACAGGAUUAGAUACCCUGGUAGUCC
This 292-nucleotide ribosomal RNA is filed under the name uncultured bacterium. Its description in RNAcentral is "partial 16S ribosomal RNA". It matches the Rfam family "Bacterial small subunit ribosomal RNA", at positions 505 to 796 of the family's 1533-position model. The record is from RNAcentral.